GUCCACGCCCUAAACGAUGUCUACUAGUUGUCGGGUUUUAAUUAACUUGGUAACGCAGCUAACGCGUGAAGUAGACCGCCUGGGGAGUACGGUCGCAAGAUUAAAACUCAAAGGAAUUGACGGGGACCCGCACAAGCGGUGGAUGAUGUGGAUUAAUUCGAUGCAACGCGAAAACCUUACCUACCCUUGACAUGGCAGAAAUCCCGGAGAGAUUUGGGAGUGCUCGAAAGAGAAUCUGCACACAGGUGCUGCAUGGCUGUCGU
This 263-nucleotide ribosomal RNA is filed under the name uncultured bacterium. RNAcentral's name for it is "partial 16S ribosomal RNA". It matches the Rfam family "Bacterial small subunit ribosomal RNA", at positions 793 to 1055 of the family's 1533-position model. The record is from RNAcentral.